AGGGGCGUGGCGGAAUUGGCAGACGCACCGGAUUUUGAUUCCGGCAAUUGGAGGUUCGAGUCCUCUCGCCCCUG
This 74-nucleotide transfer RNA is filed under the name Caudoviricetes sp. Its description in RNAcentral is "tRNA-Gln". It matches the Rfam family "tRNA". From Rfam's summary of the family: Transfer RNA (tRNA) molecules are approximately 80 nucleotides in length. Their secondary structure includes four short double-helical elements and three loops (D, anti-codon, and T loops). The record is from RNAcentral. Lineage: Duplodnaviria; Heunggongvirae; Uroviricota; Caudoviricetes.